GACGAACGCUGGCGGCGUGCUUAACACAUGCAAGUCGAACGGAAAGGCCCUGCUUUUGUGGGGUGCUCGAGUGGCGAACGGGUGAGUAACACGUGAGUAACCUGCCCUUGACUUUGGGAUAACUUCAGGAAACUGGGGCUAAUACCGGAUAGGAGCUCCUGCUGCAUGGUGGGGGUUGGAAAGUUUCGGCGGUUGGGGAUGGACUCGCGGCUUAUCAGCUUGUUGGUGGGGUAGUGGCUUACCAAGGCUUUGACGGGUAGCCGGCCUGAGAGGGUGACCGGCCACAUUGGGACUGAGAUACGGCCCAGACUCCUACGGGAGGCAGCAGUGGGGAAUAUUGCACAAUGGGCGGAAGCCUGAUGCAGCAACGCCGCGGGCGGGAUGACGGCCUUCGGGUGGUAAACCGCUUUCGCCUGUGACGAAGCGUGAGUGACGGUAAUGGGGAAAGAAGCACCGGCUAACUACGU
This 467-nucleotide ribosomal RNA is filed under the name uncultured bacterium. Its description in RNAcentral is "partial 16S ribosomal RNA". It matches the Rfam family "Bacterial small subunit ribosomal RNA", at positions 28 to 506 of the family's 1533-position model. The record is from RNAcentral.